GUCGAGAAUUUUUCUCAAUGGGCGAAAGCCUGAAGGAGCGACGCCGCGUGGGGGAUGAAUGGCUUCGGCCCGUAAACCCCUGUCAUUUGCGAUCAAACCGCAUUAUUUAAAAGAUGAUGCGCUGAUAGUAGCGGAAGAGGAAGGGACGGCUAACUCUGUGCCAGCAGCCGCGGUAAUACAGAGGUCCCAAGCGUUGUUCGGAUUCACUGGGCGUAAAGGGUGCGUAGGUGGCCGGGUAAGUCUGACGUGAAAUCUCCAAGCUCAACUUGGAAACUGCGUCGGAUACUAUCCGGCUCGAGGAUCGGAGGGGAGACUGGAAUGCUUGGUGUAGCAGUGAAAUGCGUAGAUAUCAAGCGGAACACCAGUGGCGAAGGCGAGUCUCUGGACGAUUCCUGACGCUGAGGCACGAAAGCCAGGGGAGCAAACGGGAUUAGAUACCCCUGUAGUCC
RNAcentral lists this ribosomal RNA (449 nucleotides) under uncultured bacterium. RNAcentral's name for it is "bacterial SSU rRNA". It matches the Rfam family "Bacterial small subunit ribosomal RNA", at positions 354 to 796 of the family's 1533-position model. The record is from RNAcentral.